CAGUUUGCACCGGCUGAGGCUCUGGCAUAGUAAAAGUAAAGCAAAGCAUGAGAAGCACAAGUGAAAGCUUUCCUCACAAUGCCCUUCCACUGUGCCUCAACCCUGACCAAAGGGAUCCCCUGAAGGGCUGAGGAGGUACUCAUUUUCAUAGCCAGGCAAUAUUGUCCCUCU
This 171-nucleotide small RNA is filed under the name Chelonoidis abingdonii (Abingdon island giant tortoise). RNAcentral describes it as "TUC338 (ENSCABG00000005634.1)". Lineage: Eukaryota; Metazoa; Chordata; Testudines; Testudinidae. The record is from RNAcentral.